This 352-nucleotide long non-coding RNA is filed under the name Ananas comosus (pineapple). RNAcentral's name for it is "long non-coding RNA (ACOM_LNC008125)". The record is from RNAcentral. Lineage: Eukaryota; Viridiplantae; Streptophyta; Magnoliopsida; Poales; Bromeliaceae.
AAAAAAAAAAAGAGCAUAAUUUGUAUAAAAAAUUUACGGAUUUUAAAUUUUUAUAAAAAUAAGUUUUUUUUUUUUAUUUUGCAGAUUCGGUUUAUAUUUUUAAUAAGCUGAUCAAAAUACUCUUAUAUUUUUUUCUCUUAUUUUUUUUAUUCAUCUUUUUCUCUCCGGUCAUCCUCAAAAUCUGCAAAAUCUUCGUCGCUGUCGCCGUCACCAUCCACGGCCAUGUAUUCCACUGCAUCGUGAUUUAUGCCAUAUCUGAAUCGGCGUCGACGAAUUGUAAGAGUGGGGAGCGCAACGUUGACAUCGGAGCGGUGGAAUAGGAGGAUAAAAAAGAAAAGAUGAGAGGAAAAAA